This 370-nucleotide ribosomal RNA is filed under the name uncultured organism. RNAcentral describes it as "bacterial SSU rRNA". It matches the Rfam family "Bacterial small subunit ribosomal RNA", at positions 526 to 896 of the family's 1533-position model. The record is from RNAcentral.
CGAAGGGGGCUAGCGUUGUUCGGAAUUACUGGGCGUAAAGCGCGCGCAGGCGGUCUUCCAAGUCAGUGGUGAAAGCCUGGAGCUCAACUCCAGAACUGCCAUUGAAACUGUUAGACUUGAGUACGAGAGAGGUGAGUGGAAUUCCCAGUGUAGAGGUGAAAUUCGUAGAUAUUGGGAAGAACACCAGUGGCGAAGGCGGCUCACUGGCUCGUAACUGACGCUCAGGCGCGACAGCGUGGGGAUCAAACAGGAUUAGAUACCCUGGUAGUCCACGCCGUAAACGAUGAAUGCUAGCCGUUGGAUAACUUGCUAUUCAGUGGCGCAGCUAACGCAUUAAGCAUUCCGCCUGGGGAGUACGGCCGCAAGGUUG